This is a non-coding RNA of Oryza barthii, 211 nucleotides long. The record is from Rfam. Lineage: Eukaryota; Viridiplantae; Streptophyta; Magnoliopsida; Poales; Poaceae.
AAAAAGACAAACCCUGCGUUUCCGUGUUCAACGACGUUUGACUGUUCGUCUUAUAUGAAUUUUUUUUAAAUUAGUAUUUUCAUUGUUGUGAGAUGAUAAAACAUGAUUAAUACUUUAUGCGUGACUUUGUUUUUUUUAAUUUUUUCCAUAAUUUUUUUAAAUAAGACGGAUGGUCAAACGUUGGACAUGGAAACCCAGGGUUUGUCUUUUU